GUAUCCUGAGUAAGGCGGGACCGGAGAAAUCCUGCCUGAAUCUGCCGGCACCAUCCGGUAAGGCUAAAUACUCCUCAGACACCGAUAGUGAACCAGUACCGUAAGGGAAAGGUGAAAAGCACCCUAAAUAAGGGAGUGAAAUAGUACCUGAAACCGUGCGCCUACAAGCGGUCGGAGCAGCAUUUAUGUUGUGACGGCGUGCCUUUUGCAUAAUGAGCCUACGAGUUACUCCUCACUGGCGAGGUUAAGCUCUUAAGUAGCGGAGCCGUAGCGAAAGCAAGUCCAAAUAGGGCGAAUAGUCAGUGGGGGUAGACGCGAAACUUUGUGAUCUAUCCAUGGGCAGGUUGAAGGUGUGGUAACACACACUGGAGGACCGAACACGUAAACGUUGAAAAGUUUUGUGAUGACCUGUGGAUAGGGGUGAAAGGCCAAUCAAACUGAGAGAUAGCUCGUUCUCCCCGAAAUGUUUUUAGGAACAGCCUCGGAUUAUAGACGUUUAGCACAGGUAGAGCUACUGAUUGGGCUAGGGGGCUUCACCGCCUACCAAACCCUGACAAACUCCGAAUGGUGCUAAAUAUCUCCGGGAGUGAGGCUGUGGGCGAUAAGGUCCAUGGCCGAGAGGGAAAUAACCCAGAUUAGCAACUAAGGUCCCUAAUACAUGGUUAAGUUGAUCAAACGAGGUGGAGUUUCUAUAACAGCCAGGAUGUUGGCUUGGAAGCAGCCACUCAUUUAAAGAGUGCGUAACAGCUCACUGGUCGAGAGACUCUGCACGGAAAAUAAUCGGGCAUCAAACCAUGAACCGAAGUUCUAAACAGUGUAUUAAGUACACUUGUGGUAGGGGAGCAUUGAAAUCAGCUGCGAAGGUGUCUGGCGAUGGAUGCUGGAGCGAUUUCAAAAGAAAAUGUAGGCAUAAGUAACGAUAAAACAGGUGAAAAACCUGUUCGCCGUAAACCCAAGGUUUCCUGAUCAAUGUUAAUCAGAUCAGGGUUAGUCGGGUCCUUAGGCAAACCCGAAAGGGGUAGCUGAUGGCAAGUUGGUUAAUAUUCCAACACCUGCUUUUACUUCGAUGGGGUGACGGGGUAGUGAAAGGUCCGCGUUCUUACGGAAUAGAACGUUAAAGGGUGUAGAUAUAGGCUGUAUAGGUAAAUCCGUACGGCUUGUCGAACCUGAUAGUACAGCAAAGCUUCGGCAGCGCUGAUAGUGACCCUAAUCAAACCUCCGAGAAAAACCUCUAAGUUAUGGUAGAAGCAGCCCGUACCGCAAACCGACACAGGUGGGUGGGAUGAGUAUUCUAAGGCGCUCGGGUGAGCCUUGGAGAAGGAACUAGGCAAAUUAACGCUGUAACUUCGGGAUAAAGCGUACCGCAGCGAUGCGGUCACAGUAAAAUGGUUCAACCAACUGUUUAACAAAA
RNAcentral lists this ribosomal RNA (1411 nucleotides) under Sphingobacteriaceae bacterium. RNAcentral describes it as "partial 23S ribosomal RNA". It matches the Rfam family "Bacterial large subunit ribosomal RNA", at positions 403 to 1812 of the family's 2925-position model. The record is from RNAcentral. Lineage: Bacteria; Pseudomonadati; Bacteroidota; Sphingobacteriia; Sphingobacteriales; Sphingobacteriaceae.